This 236-nucleotide unclassified non-coding RNA is filed under the name Hevea brasiliensis (rubber tree). Lineage: Eukaryota; Viridiplantae; Streptophyta; Magnoliopsida; Malpighiales; Euphorbiaceae. The record is from RNAcentral.
GUUGUCUCAGAAGAAAUUUUUGAUAGUGCUUGAUGAUGUUUGGACAGAAAGCUACGAUCAUUGGACUCUCUUUUGCAGUCCUUUUGAGCUAGGAGCAAUGGGAAGUAGAAUUAUUAUCACAACUCGCAAUGAAAGUGUCUCAUCCAUGAUGGGUACCAUUCGAGGUUAUUCUCUCAAGCAGUUGCCCAUUGAAGAUUGCCUGUCUGUAUUUUCCCAACAUGCUUUGGGAGCCCCAA